UGGGAUGAACCUGGAUCCAGAUGAAACUCU
RNAcentral lists this non-coding RNA (30 nucleotides) under Rattus norvegicus (Norway rat). Lineage: Eukaryota; Metazoa; Chordata; Mammalia; Rodentia; Muridae. The record is from RNAcentral.